AUUGAACGCUGGCGGCAGGCCUAACACAUGCAAGUCGAGCGAGCGGCGGACGGGUGAGUAAUGUCUGGGAAACUGCCUGAUGGAGGGGGGUAACUACUGGAAACGGUAGCUAAUACCGCAUACCAUCAGAUGUGCCCAGAUGGGAUUAGCUAGUAGGUGGGUUAACGGCUAACCUAGUCGACGAUCCCUAGAUGGUCUGCGAGGAUGACCAGCAACACUGGAACGGAGAAACGGUCCAGACUCCUACGGGAGGCAGCAGUGGGGAAUAUUGCACAAUGGGGGAAAGCCUGAUGCAGCCAUGCGGGGUGUGUGAAGAAGGCCUUCGGGUUGUAAAGCACGUUCAGCGGGGAGGCGUUACCUGCAGAAGAAGCACCGGCUAACUCCGUGCCAGCAGCCGCGGUAAUUC
This 406-nucleotide ribosomal RNA is filed under the name uncultured bacterium. RNAcentral describes it as "partial 16S ribosomal RNA". It matches the Rfam family "Bacterial small subunit ribosomal RNA", at positions 30 to 526 of the family's 1533-position model. The record is from RNAcentral.